CCUAACCAAACAUGAUCUUUGGCUGCCUGUGCCUCAUUUAUUGGCAGUGCAUGGAGAGGAACAUGGAAGACCUUUUCCCUGUGUUUGCAGGGGCCUCUUUCCAUCGCUUGCAAGCUCAGGAGCUUUCCCACA
Cavia aperea (Brazilian guinea pig) is the source of this 132-nucleotide small nucleolar RNA. Its record names the gene SNORA71. It matches the Rfam family "Small nucleolar RNA SNORA71". Rfam says of the family: The members of this family belong to the H/ACA class of snoRNAs which bind a number of proteins (including dyskerin, Gar1p and Nop10p) to form snoRNP complexes. This class of snoRNAs are thought to guide the sites of modification of uridines to pseudouridines by forming direct base pairing interactions with substrate RNAs. This family includes U71 (SNORA71), ACA39 (SNORA39) and ACA60 (SNORA60). NCBI's taxonomy places the organism in Eukaryota, Metazoa, Chordata, Mammalia, Rodentia, Caviidae. The record is from Ensembl.